AUUGAACGCUGGCGGCAUGCCUUACACAUGCAAGUCGAACGGCAGCACGGGAGCAAUCCUGGUGGCGAGUGGCGAACGGGUGAGUAAAGUAUCGGAACGUGCCCAGUCGUGGGGGAUAACGUAGCGAAAGUUACGCUAAUACCGCAUACGAUCUAUGGAUGAAAGCGGGGGAUCGCAAGACCUCGCGCGAUUGGAGCGGCCGAUAUCAGAUUAGGUAGUUGGUGGGGUAAAGGCUCACCAAGCCGACGAUCUGUAGAUGGUCUGAGAGGACGACCGGCCACGCUGGGACUGGGCCACGGCCCAGACUCCGACGGGAGGCAGCAGUGGGGAAUUUUGGACAAUGGGCGAAAGCCUGAUCCAGCCAUGCCGCGUGCAGGAUGAGGGCCUUCGGGUUGUAAACUGCUUUUGUACGGAACGAAAAGGUUUGGCCUAAUAAGCUGAGCUCAUGACGGUACCGUAAGAAUAAGCACCGGCUAACUACGUGCCAGCAGCCGCCGUAA
RNAcentral lists this ribosomal RNA (500 nucleotides) under uncultured bacterium. RNAcentral's name for it is "partial 16S ribosomal RNA". It matches the Rfam family "Bacterial small subunit ribosomal RNA", at positions 29 to 523 of the family's 1533-position model. The record is from RNAcentral.